GACGAACGCUGGCGGCGUGCUUAACACAUGCAAGUCGAACGGAAAGGCCUGCUUUCCCUUGUGGAUUGCGGGUACUCGAGUGGCGAACGGGUGAGUAACACGUGAGUGAUCUGCCCCCAACUUGGGUAUAAGCCUGGGAAACUGGGUCUAAUUCCCGAUAGGACUGCAGGGUGGUGCCUGUGGUGGAAAACGAUUUUCUAGUGGUUGGGGAUGAGCUCGCGGCCUAUCAGCUUGUUGGUGGGGUAAUGGCCUACCAAGGCGGCGACGGGUAGCCGGCCUGAGAGGGUGGACGGCCGCAUUGGGACUGGGAUACGGCCCAGACUCCUACGGGAGGCAGCAGUGGGGAAUAUUGCACAAUGGGCGGGAGCCUGAUGCAGCGACGCCGCGUGGGGGAUGACGGCCUUCGGGUUGUAAACUCCUUUCGACCGCGAGGAAGCCACCUGGUUGGAAGGGUGGUGACGGUAGUGGUAGAAGAAGCACCGGCUAACUACGUG
RNAcentral lists this ribosomal RNA (494 nucleotides) under uncultured bacterium. RNAcentral's name for it is "partial 16S ribosomal RNA". It matches the Rfam family "Bacterial small subunit ribosomal RNA", at positions 28 to 507 of the family's 1533-position model. The record is from RNAcentral.